GCAGCAGGCGCGAAAACUUUACAAUGCAGGAAACUGUGAUAAGGGAACCCCGAGUGCCUGUAUGGACAGGCUGUUCAGGUGCGCAAAAAACACCUGGAGAAAGGGCCGGGCAAGACCGGUGCCAGCCGCCGCGGUAAUACCGGCGGCUCGAGUGGUGGCCACUAUUACUGGGCUUAAAGCGUCCGUAGCUGGGUAGUUAAGUCUCUGGGGAAAUCUUCCGGCUCAACCGGAAGGCGUCUCAGGGAUACUGGUUACCUUGGGAUCGGGAGAGGUGAGAGGUACUCUGGGGGUAGGAGUGAAAUCCUGUAAUCC
Molecule: ribosomal RNA, 312 nt
Filed under: Methanofollis sp.
Lineage: Archaea; Methanobacteriati; Methanobacteriota; Methanomicrobia; Methanomicrobiales; Methanomicrobiaceae
Description: bacterial SSU rRNA
Rfam family: Archaeal small subunit ribosomal RNA
Source: RNAcentral